GGCGGAGCCUGGUGGAGAUGUUGGGUUUUGUCCUUGCGUGGGCGCUGCUUGCUGGCAAAGUCUGGACAAGAGAAUUCUCUAGUGAUUUCUAACCGGGCCUCCUACCCCAGAUCCUGGGACUCCUCAGCCCUGAGCAGCCCUCAGCCUCGCUGGAGUGUGUUCUCUCUUGCCCUGCACCAUCCUCACCCCGACCCCGCACGAAGAAGUGUGCAGUGUGGCCCUGAGACCGUAGCCUUGCUCCAGAGACUGCCCAGGGAGACGGACCUAGUUCUCUUGACUUCCUGCUUUCUCCACCUUAGCCUCCUAGGCUCUGAUUUCUGCCUCCUCCCUAAAGCAAGAGGGAGCAGCGCCUCCCAGAGCACCUACAAUCCAGAGAGGGUGGCAGCAUCCUUAGGUGACCUGGGUCCCAGCCCCAACUUCUGGGCAGCCCGCCAGGAUAGAAAAGGAUGUUCGAAAGAAAGUUCAGAGCAACUCACCCACCAGAUACCCCCCUUCAUUCCCACAGACCGCCAGCCCCAGAGCCUGUCUGACCCCUAAACCCCAAUUUCCUAAAUCCUCCCCUAGUUUCAUCCUCACCUUCUUGGAGUUUUGAUAAAAGAGGAACCAAUAUGCUAAAUCUCAGUUCCCAGGCCUUACUGUGUGACCAUCCCUAGGCUCUGCCCUCUCUGGUCUCCGACUUCCCUGAGAAUCCCU
Molecule: long non-coding RNA, 693 nt
Filed under: Chinchilla lanigera (long-tailed chinchilla)
Lineage: Eukaryota; Metazoa; Chordata; Mammalia; Rodentia; Chinchillidae
Description: lncRNA (ENSCLAG00000028150.1)
Source: RNAcentral